AUACAGAGGGUGCGAGCGUUAAUCGGAAUUACUGGGCGUAAAGCGCGCGUAGGCGGCUACUUAAGUCAGAUGUGAAAUCCCCGGGCUCAACCUGGGAACUGCAUCUGAUACUGGGUAGCUAGAGUUUAGGAGAGGGAAGUAGAAUUUCAGGUGUAGCGGUGAAAUGCAUAGAGAUCUGAAGGAAUACCAGUGGCGAAGGCGGCCUCCUGGCCUAAACCUGACGCUGAGGUGCGAAAGCGUGGGUAGCAAACGGGAUUAGAUACCCGGGUAGUCC
Molecule: ribosomal RNA, 274 nt
Filed under: uncultured bacterium
Lineage: Bacteria
Description: partial 16S ribosomal RNA
Rfam family: Bacterial small subunit ribosomal RNA
Source: RNAcentral